This 308-nucleotide ribosomal RNA is filed under the name uncultured bacterium. RNAcentral describes it as "bacterial SSU rRNA". It matches the Rfam family "Bacterial small subunit ribosomal RNA", at positions 626 to 932 of the family's 1533-position model. The record is from RNAcentral.
UUGGAAACUGAUUUAUUUGAGUGCGAAAGAGGAAAGUGGAACUCCAUGUGUAGCGGUGAAAUGCGUAGAUAUGUGGAAGAACACCAGUGGCGAAAGCGGCUUGCUAGAUCGUAACUGACGUUGAGGCUCGAAAGUAUGGGUAGCAAACGGGAUUAGAUACCCCGGUAGUCCAUACCGUAAACGAUGGGUGCUAGUUGUUAAAAGGUUUCCGCCUCCUAGUGACGUAGCAAACGCAUUAAGCACCCCGCCUGAGGAGUACGGCCGCAAGGCUAAAACUUAAAGGAAUUGACGGGGACCCGCACAAGCGG